AUACGUAGGGGGCGAGCGUUAUCCGGAUUUAUUGGGCGUAAAGCGUGUGUAGGCGGUUUAUUAAGUCUAAGAUGAAAGCCCGAGGCUCAACCUCGGUUUGUUUUAGGUACUGGUAGACUAGAGUGUGGUAGAGGCAAAUGGAAUUCCUAGUGUAGCGGUGAAAUGCGUAGAUAUUAGGAGGAACAUCAGUGGCGAAGGCGAUUUGCUGGGCCAUUACUGACGCUGAGACACGAAAGCGUGGGGAGCAAAUAGGAUUAGAUACCCUAGUAGUCCACGCUGUAAACGAUGAGCACUAAGUGUCGGGCAACCGGUGCUGAAGUUAACACAUUAAGUGCUCCGCCUGAGUAGUACGGUCGCAAGACUGA
RNAcentral lists this ribosomal RNA (365 nucleotides) under uncultured bacterium. RNAcentral's name for it is "bacterial SSU rRNA". It matches the Rfam family "Bacterial small subunit ribosomal RNA", at positions 523 to 897 of the family's 1533-position model. The record is from RNAcentral.